AAUGGGGGAUAACGUAGCGAAAGUUACGCUAAUACCGCAUAUGCCCUGAGGGGGAAAGGUGGGGAUCGCAAGACCUAUCGUUUUCGGAGCGGCCGAUAUCAGAUUAGCUAGUUGGUGGGGUAAAGGCCUACCAAGGCGACGAUCUGUAGCGGGUCUGAGAGGAUGAUCCGCCACACUGGGACUGAGACACGGCCCAGACUCCUACGGGAGGCAGCAGUGGGGAAUUUUGGACAAUGGGGGCAACCCUGAUCCAGCCAUGCCGCGUGAGUGAAGAAGGCCUUCGGGUUGUAAAGCUCUUUCAGCCGGAAAGAAAUCGUGCAGGCUAAUAUCCUGCAUGGAUGACGGUACCGGAAGAGGAAGCACCGGCUAACUACGUGCCAGCAGCCGCGGUAAUACGUAGGGUGCGAGCGUUAAUCGGAAUUACUGGGCGUAAAGCGUGCGCAGGCGGUUUUGUAAGACAGGUGUGAAAUCCCCGGGCUUAACCUGGGAACUGCAUUUGUGACUGCAAGGCUAGAGUGUGGCAGAGGGGGGUAGAAUUCCG
Molecule: ribosomal RNA, 541 nt
Filed under: uncultured Gallionellaceae bacterium
Lineage: Bacteria; Pseudomonadati; Pseudomonadota; Betaproteobacteria; Nitrosomonadales; Gallionellaceae
Description: bacterial SSU rRNA
Rfam family: Bacterial small subunit ribosomal RNA
Source: RNAcentral